RNAcentral lists this ribosomal RNA (235 nucleotides) under uncultured Candidatus Saccharibacteria bacterium. RNAcentral describes it as "partial 16S ribosomal RNA". It matches the Rfam family "Bacterial small subunit ribosomal RNA", at positions 584 to 818 of the family's 1533-position model. The record is from RNAcentral. Lineage: Bacteria; Candidatus Saccharimonadota.
UAAGUGAAUAGUGAAAUCUGGUGGCUCAACCAUACAGGCUAUUGUUCAAACUGUACAACUUGAGAGUGGUAGAGGUCACUGGAAUUUCUUGUGUAGGAGUGAAAUCCGUAGAUAUAAGAAGGAACACCGAUGGCGUAGGCAGGUGACUGGGCCAUUUCUGACGCUAAGGCACGAAAGCGUGGGAGCGAACCGGAUUAGAUACCCGGGUAGUCCACGCCGUAAACGAUGGAUACUG